Molecule: long non-coding RNA, 875 nt
Organism: Harpia harpyja (harpy eagle)
Lineage: Eukaryota; Metazoa; Chordata; Aves; Accipitriformes; Accipitridae
Exons: 2
Source: RefSeq, a predicted model, not a curated record
GCAAAGCAGCAAGGGCAAGUGUGUGUGUCCCCCCCGCCGCGGCUGCUGCAGGAGCGAGGCCCCCCCCCCCCCCAAGACCCCAAAUAGGGGGAGGGAAGGUGCUGGGGAGCCCCUGGGUGCAGCCGCAGCCCCUCACCGUGAUGCCAGGGACAGGCCUGGGGGGCUAGCGUCACCUCCAAGGUACGAACCCACGACGCCGCAGCGAAAACCGCUGCCUGCCGGCACCAGCGCAGGGGUCGGCCGCCGAGGCAGAAAAUCUGCAGAAGCAGCAGCGUAAUCGCAUUUGGGUGAAAAAUCCUUAUCAGCAAGAAGAAAGCCGAGGGCACUCACAGGAGACGGCACAGCCCGGCCACGGGCUCCCCCGGCCCCCCUAUUCCCCCUCCCACGGCUCCAUCCCCUUCGCUCCCUCUGCAUCCCUCCAAAAUUUAGCAAGAGUCCCCUUAAAAGAGCCCGUUUGUCCCUUGUCUAUCCAUCUCAGCUCACCGGGAGCAUCCCUGUCCCCAGCACGUUGCACCAAGAGGCCCACGGACCCCACGAUCUCAGCCCUACAAGGACUAUUUCUUUUGUGAGACCCUUAAAUAAUAAUUUCGGGCAUUGCGGCCGCCCGGCCGGGCUCCACGCGAGGUACAAGCGCUGCCCGGGUCGAGCUCGAUGAUGCACAGGGAGAAAAAAAAAUCCUGCAAGGGCAGAGGAAAAGCCUUUGCAAAAAAAUUCCGUGGAUUUUACUUAACUCAGCACAUCUGCAGGCAGACACUGCCAGGAGCCGGCGGCAGCAUCCCUGUGGAUGUGCCAAGGGGACGGGGGGCACAGCAUGUGGCCAUUUUAAUUACCGGCAGCUCUAAAAUAAACUCAAUUUGCAGCACCCUUAGUCACAA